Molecule: long non-coding RNA, 1213 nt
Filed under: Bemisia tabaci
Lineage: Eukaryota; Metazoa; Arthropoda; Insecta; Hemiptera; Aleyrodidae
Description: lncRNA ENSSSA3NGG001899
Source: RNAcentral
UUUCUAUCUGUUAUCUACACGGUAGACGGUGAUUUUGUUUAAAAAAGUGUUUUAGUGCUUUUGGUUUUCAAUACCAUUCCAGCAUUUUUAUUGUUUUUGCUCCUCAUUCAUCUUUAAUCUUGGCAAUUUCUGUGUUGAUGAUGAUAAUUCAUGUACUUUCAUGGCCAGACUAAUGAUUUUGAUCCAAUGAAGAAUAACCAUGGUGAUUACGAAAUCUAUGUAAAAUUCUUUCUUUUUCAACUUAUUUCAAUUGAAACAAAGAUUUUCUGACAUGCCGUGCUUUACCGGGUACAAACGAAUAUUAUUCGACUCAGUUCUUUCUAGCAUUUUAACUCCGGUUUUAAUACUUUUGCUGCACAUGGUCUGAUCUCUUCGGUGGUAAUUUUUUCAACCAUAUCUUUGUGUCUUAUUACACCACUUGCGUUGUUAAUAGACUGAACAGGACAGUACCAUUUUUCUUCAUUGGUUCAUUACGUCUAUCAUCUACAUUCUAAUCAAUUUUGAAUUUGUUGUUAGUCCUUUACUUUUGACUGAUUCUAGUGAGAAUUUUUAUUCCUAUCAUUGAUAUCUUUAGCCCUUUACUGUCUUAUUUACUCCAAGUUUUUAAGCUCUCAAAUAUGUCAGUCUUCUCCUUGCACCAAAAGUAAUUGCAGUGCUCUUCUUCCUGGGGACAACAUAGAUACAGAAAGUGCAAGUCGGAAAUGGUCCAGUUUGACACCUGAUCCUUGUCCAUUUUUGGCAUGCUACCUUUCUGCAAAACAGCACGCUGUUAUUUCUGCAAAGCUUUAACUUUUUCCAAACAACAGUACUGUCAAUGGCUUGACUGUCAUAUCAGCUCUAAGAAUUUUGACUUCUAUAUCAUAGGUCUCAGUUUGCUGGCAUGUGGACUGUUUUUCUAUACGUACCUCAUCAUCAUUUCUGCUUGUCAUUAUCACUUGCUAUUCUCUAUAGCUGGGAUUGACAUCUAUUUUCCAGAUGAUUGCAGUGAUGUUUAUUAUGAUUUAUCGGUUGCAUUUUGUUUUGCUAGUGGCAUAUAUUCUUUACUCUUAACAUGCAUCACAGUUUAUACCCUUGUGAAGGACUUCUUAUUCCUCAUCAAGUCUGCGCCUUCCACAGCAACAGACUUACAGGUAAUCAAAUCAGGAUUUUUUUAUGUGUAUUUUUUUUACUUCCAGCCAAAGACUAACAAUGGUUGUCUGGGGCUGGCUUGAUU